UUGGAGGGCAAGUCUGGUGCCAGCAGCCGCGGUAAUUCCAGCUCCAAUAGCGUAUAUUAAAGUUGUUGCAGUUAAAAAGCUCGUAGUUGAAUUUCGGGAUCAAUAUUUCGGUCAUGCCGUUGGUAUGCACUGUUAUCAUUGAUUUCUCACCUUCUAAAGAACCGUAAUGCCAUUAAUUUGGUGUUACGGGGAAUUAGGACUGUUACCUUGAAAAAAUUAGAGUGUUUAAAGCAGGCUCACGCUUGAAUACAUUAGCAUGGAAUAAUGAAAUAGGACAUCCGAUUCUAUUUUGUUGGUUUCUAGGAUCGAUGUAAUGAUUAAUAGGGAUAGUUGGGGGCAUUAGUAUUCAAUUGUCAGAGGUGAAAUUCUUGGAUUUAUUGAAGACUAACUACUGCGAAAGCAUUUGCCAAGGAUGUUUUCAUUAAUCAGGAACGAAAGUUAGGGGAUCGAAGACGAUCAGAUACCGUCGUAGUCUUAACCAUAAACUAUGCCGACUAGGGAUCGGACGGUGUUAUUUUUUGACCCGUUCGGCACCUUACGGGAAAC
RNAcentral lists this ribosomal RNA (546 nucleotides) under uncultured Glomus. Its description in RNAcentral is "SSU rRNA". It matches the Rfam family "Eukaryotic small subunit ribosomal RNA", at positions 548 to 1098 of the family's 1831-position model. Lineage: Eukaryota; Fungi; Glomeromycota; Glomeromycetes; Glomerales; Glomeraceae. The record is from RNAcentral.